GGAGCUGUAGCUCAAUGGUAGAGCAUUUCCUUUGCAUGUAGGAGGUUCCUUGAUCAACCCCUGUCAUCUCCA
Molecule: transfer RNA, 72 nt
Filed under: Sphaerodactylus townsendi
Lineage: Eukaryota; Metazoa; Chordata; Lepidosauria; Squamata; Sphaerodactylidae
Description: tRNA-Ala
Rfam family: tRNA
About the family: Transfer RNA (tRNA) molecules are approximately 80 nucleotides in length. Their secondary structure includes four short double-helical elements and three loops (D, anti-codon, and T loops).
Source: RNAcentral